This is a long non-coding RNA of Capra hircus (goat), 1630 nucleotides long. Lineage: Eukaryota; Metazoa; Chordata; Mammalia; Artiodactyla; Bovidae. The record is from Ensembl.
GCCCUCCCCCCCCGGGGGACAGAAGGCCGCUCACCUGCCCACGAGUGGGUCCUGAGACCACCGGGAUGGGGCUUGGGCCCAACAGGCUGCAGAAGUCAGGCUGGAGGCCCUGAUGGCGGAUGCUGGGCGGAGACCCGCCAGGCUCAGGAGCCCGCCUCCGCCAGAGGCCCCUGGAGACGGCCCGGGUGGGCCGGGCUGCUGACCAGGCCAGGAGAGGUCCAGUCACAACUGUCGAGUACCCGGAACGAGAGGGCAAGUGCCCAGGGUGCGCUCUCACGCCUCCCGUCUGCACCCGGCCCCGUGAGGGUCAGAGCCUGUGGCCGGUCACACACAGGCCCCGCGUGAGUCACCGGGUGGGCACAGCUGGAGACCCCCUGGACACUUCCAAGGGGGCAGCCUCUGGCCCCGGCCCCUCAGACCAACCGGGAGACAGACAGAGGAGCCCCAGGGCCAACCUCCCAGGGCCUCUGGCCUCGGGCCUCUGACUGGCCACUUGCCCUGUGGGCAGCCCAGUGCCUUUCACAAAGUGCCCACAAGCUGGGGAUUUCCCACCACUCGACAUGAGACUUUAGGGAGAAAAAGUUUCUUGGUGCCACUAACUGAAGCCCAGCGAAUUCCUGGAACACAUGCCUUCAGCCUUAUCCAGUGUGAGCAGCUGCCGGUUGGACCCCCGGGCCUGGAGACGAGGAUGGGAAGCACGGAGUGCUUUUGAACUACUUUCAUUGUUUUCCCUUUUUGUUACAAAGAAAAGAGCCCGGCAUUCACUGUGUCCCCUCGAGCUUGCUGCCUGGGCAUCUUUCCUGCGCACCCACCAGCCCCCUGGGGAGCCCGCCUGAGUGAGACACCUCAGCGCUUCUUGCUGCCUCUUCCCGGGGCCGCCCUACGCCGAGCACAGAGAAGCCAGUGUCCACGCACCACCCCCGCCGCUCCAGCCUCCCGUUGCUGUGCCUGCCCCAGAGCCCACGGCCUCUGCAGACCUGGGGGCGUCACUGGGACUGAACACAAACAGGGCAGCCCUCCCAGGGCGGUGCCUCCUCUGAAGCCCCUUUAUGAGAGCCCCCGGGUGCAUUCCCACCAUGAGCGUGACUCCGGGCCUGCCAGGCAGUGUUCCCAGGAGGCCAGCAGGACACAGUCCACACAGACCGUGGAGACACACGGCAGCUUGUGGGUGCCCUGUUUUAUUCACCACCGUGUGGAGAAGGAAAUGGCAACCCACUCCAGUGUUCUCUCCUGGAGAAUCCCACGUACAGGCGAGUCUGGCAGGCUGCAGUCCGUGGGGUCGCUGAGAAUCGGACACAACCGAGCGACUGAGCAACGUGCCCACCCUGCCCACUGCCCCCCGCACUGUGCCCCUCUGGGGCUGCGACUCGGGCGGGGUUCUCUUCAGAACCUCCCCUCCCUCCACACUCAGGAACCCCAACUGCAAAUAGGCUCCAGGUUGCUGAGUCUGCCCUCUCUCCCCGCCCUCCUUGCCCCGGCAACGAAGGUCCAACCAGCCAGGGACAGACUCCUCUUCCUUGGAUCAUUUGUCCUCCUAGGGUGGGAGGGUAGCCACCACCUGGCAGGGAAGAGGCUUGGGAAAGAGACCACCCCCAGGUGCCUUCGCUGCUCCCUGGGUGUCUGUGUCUGA